CUCUCAAAGAAGAGCCACACUACUUAGUUAUUAGUUACUACUACAUAACCUAUAAAACUGAUUACAUGAUGACUAAGAUCCUACUAAGCAGUGAGGCAUAUAAUCACCCACAAUUUAUGUACCUCCCCUUAGGUAACUAGCAUACAGACGCCAAUAGGUGGCAGUAAAUAGCAGUAUACGUGCAAACUAGAAAAACAAAUGCAAGUGGCAUGACUUUUGCAGUCAAAACAAUGUGUUAGAGAUAAGCAAUUUGCUUUUCUUCCCAUGAGAAUAUCCUAACACAAACACCAGCCAAUGUAGUAGCAUAAUUUAUAUCUAGUGCCAUUUAAUCAAUCUGUCACCCAUAAGAUGACAGAUCCCCUCCUUUCCCAGCCAGGUGAGGUUGUUUGGGGAUUUUUUUUU
Molecule: non-coding RNA, 402 nt
Organism: Python bivittatus (Burmese python)
Lineage: Eukaryota; Metazoa; Chordata; Lepidosauria; Squamata; Pythonidae
Source: RefSeq, a predicted model, not a curated record